RNAcentral lists this long non-coding RNA (6554 nucleotides) under Lactuca sativa (garden lettuce). Its description in RNAcentral is "long non-coding RNA (LSAT_LNC009646)". The record is from RNAcentral. Lineage: Eukaryota; Viridiplantae; Streptophyta; Magnoliopsida; Asterales; Asteraceae.
CAAUUGCAUACACAAAUUCAUUUAUUCAAUGUUCACCGAUUCCUAAAAUGAUUAGAUUCGCGUUCACUAUAACUAAUCCUUUAGCAAACAAGUCAAUUCAAACAGUGAUCAGUUGAUUAAACUAACAUGCUUCCUAGUAUUCAGUUCGUAUCAAGCAAGACUUGUAAAUAUAGUUAAUCAAUGUAGACAUUUAAUUAACCUCUUGUUGAUGGUCAUCUAACAAGGCUCACACAUUAACUUACUUAUUCUCAAAUUAAUCCUAGUUUCACAUUCGUUAUUUGUAGUCUUAUAAUCUCGAUGGUCAUCAAAAAUCAUAAGAGACAAGCAAAUCAAGCGGAUGUUCAAGCAACUCAAUUCACUUAACAAUUAACAGAAAAUAAUCAUCAUUAACACAUGAGGAUCUUUAAACAAGCUUGGCAAGAUAAAUUAAACACAAAUAAACUAUUUAAUAUAGCAAUUAGUCUAAUAAUCAAAGCUUCAUUCAAUCAUAAACACAAAGUAAAAGGUUUUUACACCUAAAUCAGAAACUAAAUACAGAAAAGUACCACCAUAGAAUGCUAAACAUGGUCACGUCAGCAAACCAUAUGAUAAUCAACAUGUAUCCGCUCUCCAAUCCUUCCGAUCUCCGCUCCCGUUAGCUUAACGGCCUUCCGGCCGCCUUCUAGACCCUCAAAACGGCUUAACAGAAGUUAAUUGUCGACUAAAUUAGGUUAGAAGUCGAAUCCCCCCUCCUGGUUAGCUAAAAAUCGAUAUUUAUAAUCUUUGUGGCCGACCUAAGUACGCUGGGCGUACUUAGGAUUACGCAGCGCGUACUCAAGAUAAUCACGCGAUCAAGUAUAUCUGGCACAAGCAGGUACGCGGGGCGUAACCUUAAGGUACGCGGGGCGUACUCGCUACCUCAGCAUUCUUUUCUUUCUUUUAGCUUCUAAGCCCGGUUUCCGCUUCAGUCUUUUCUUUUGUGCUUUAUCGACAACAAAUAGCUGCAAAACAUAAUUCAAAGUAUUAUGAGUACUUUUUAGUUCUAAAAUAGAAUAAAUAAGGCCAAAAUAUUAAGAUAAAGUGUAUAAAAAUAUAUAUAAAAAUACACAUAUCAAAAUACCCCACACUUAGCCUUUGCUUGCCCCCAAGCAAAUUUACUUUUAUUUUACCAAUAUCGCACUAAACAAUCCAUUUAAAACUCAGCCAUUAUGCCAAGACCUCAACGCGUACAUUUGUGUCUAAUAUUUUCCUAAAGUACCCCCCCAUAUUUUAAAUACUCACAAUCUUCAUAAACACUCGCCCACUUUUUCCGAACAAUGCUCAUUUUAUGCAACCCUCCGAAUCCAUCCGCAGAAAACCUCCUAACCUCAAGGUAUUUUUAGUUGAGCAACCUAAGCAUACAUAAUCUAGAAUUACAAUUUAUGAUACCACUAUGGAGCUCUUUUGGAAUUCUUCACUUUCUUUGGCAUUUUGAACUUUGAUUUCUUUGAAUUCACCACCUUAUUUGAAUUGAUUUCUGGUAUCUCCAACUUUUUUGGAUUUCUUCAGAAUUUUGAUCUUUUGAUCUUCACUUUAUUUGCUCCAAAAUUCUUCAAACUUUUUUCGUAAUUCUCUUAUCUUUUUUUUUCACAUAAAUCCCUACAUGCUUAAGCAAAGGCGCUCAACCUCAACCUUUAUUGGUUAAUGAUAAUAAUUUUCAUGGAUACAUUUCAGGUUUAGGCUGCUAAACAUAUUGCAUCCCUCAAACCAAGCGGGGUUAUGUUUUUGUUCCAUGAUUUCACUAAAAUAAGGGAGGCCACAAAUGCACUAUAACGUAUAUUGGCUCAACUAAACAUUUGAGUUCUCAUCGGAUCAUCUCAUACAAUAUUAGCAAAAAUUUAAAUUAUCACUAGAUUUUUCUAAAUUAAACUAUUAUUUCAAGUUUUUUUAAAAUUUUUAAAUUUUCCAAAUUCUAGCAAUUUCAUUUUUUCUCUUAAUUUUAAUUUACUUUUACCGAUCCCCUACCCCACACUUAUUUCAUACAAUGCCCUCAUUGUAUGCUAAAACAAAUUAAGAACAUAAAAAGGGAGAAAAAGGAACAGACUCCCCUGGGUAGUUGUGGCGAGAUCGAAUGGGGCUGCUACAAGUUGCUCCAAAUAUCGCUGAAAGACUGAAAACUGGAACUGCUGCUUCUGAAUUUGCCGAAAAAUAAAAUCAAGACCGCCAUCUUCGAAAAUGUGGUGCAAAAUAUUGCAAUUAAAUGCAAUGUAUAGUAACCAUGACGUGGGAAAGUGUCGACCACGUCGUCUCGUCAAGAAUGACAUCCUCUUCUCGCGAUGAAAAAUCCCCCAUAACAUAGGAAAGUGUCAACCAUGUCGUGGCAGCCGGGACGAUACUUCUUCCUCGCGUCGAAAUAAAACUCUAUAGUAUGGGAACUGCUCAUCCAUAUCAUAAGAGUCAAAACAUCGUAACAAUGCCAAUCUUCAAAACGAUCGCUCACGAAAUAAAUAUGCACCCCACACUUAUGACAAAUCGUGGGUCUCGACUAUAAUCUUCAACUCUCAUACCGCUCUCUCUAGCAACAGUCGGACCUAGCUGCUGAACUUACUGCCAGCUUCCUAAGGGCGAAAAUUCUGCAGAAAUCUAAACAACCAAAGAGCAUCAACAUGGAAAACAAAAGUAAAACAAACUAAAUCAAAGUUUAAUUACAUACCAAAUACUAAAAACUAAACUAAACUAAAAAUAACACAAAACAAAUAAAACAAAAUAAAAAGGAUCACUCGUCAUCUCCAUCAUCAUGUGGCUGUGUCCCAGAAGUACCGGCCCCAUCAAAUCGUGACUGGAAUGGUGGUGGAAAGGGAACCGAAUACUGAAACCCCUGAUGGGCAAAGAAUGCGUUCAACGCAUUCCCAUACCACUGCUGUUGCAUGUCCACAUGUGCAACAUACUCGCUAAGGCGCUCAAUGCCCUGAGCCAGGUAGCGCAUAUCAAUCUCCCGCUCAGGUCCCUGCUGCGCUCCCCGAGGAGCAGGUCGACGCCGCUGGACCCGUCUCGGCUGUGGCUCGGCAGCACCCUCCUCAUCUGCCUCAUCAUCUGCUCGAACUCUCAAAACACCAUCACCACCCCGCUCUAAUACGCGCAUCGACUCCAAUAGCUGAAGACUCAUCGGCCUCAUGUCGUGAAACACCAUCGAUCUCGUGAUCUCACGUGUCAUCAACUGGUAUGAUCGAGCUAACCGUGUGAUAAAAUGCCCUCCGCAUAUCGGGCUAUCUCCCCUAAGUCCCCUGGCCCUCCGUCCCAAGUAUGCAGCUAAAGCAACUGGAAGGUUCAGGUGCCUCCCUGGAGUAACUAGUGCCCAUAGGAAAUACAGGUCCGUCGAAGGCACUCUCUCACUAUUCUUGUGAUGCGUGAGAGACAUAGAAAUCAACCGGUGCAACAUUCGGUAUGUAGUGGACCGAAUCAUCCCCCCUCGAGCGGUAGAUGGUGUAUAAACUCCUCCCGUAAUCUCGGCCCAAAAUGUGUUCUCAUUAUAGUCCGCUGGCCGUUCCGUGAGACAGUCAGCAAGGAAUGCCAGGAAGUGGACACUCCUCGUCUCGUCGACUGUGUAAAUACCCACCCGAGUAGCAAGCUCUAUCACGCUGCAUUCCCGGCUCACUCCUCCCAGUCUAAAAGCAAAGGUUGUCCUGUCAUCGAGUGCCUUCCUAGGAUCAUAGGAAACUGUAGCGUAGAACUCCAGCAAAAACUCCCGAUACACAGGCUCCUGGAUCCUGAACAAACGCGCCCAUCCCUGACACACAAACAAUUCCACACCACUCGCGUCCGAGUGUGUGUAUUGCAAAAAUUCUUGGAUCAAUGCAUCAAGUCCAGUCCUGGUAGCCAACUCCCAGUCGAAUGAGGGUGCAAUAUCAAUCUCCUUGGUGAGAAGCAAGCUUAAGUUGGUGACAUAACGCGCCCGGGUAGCGUCGUUCAGCGUUUGCGGAAAUUGUAAAAAGCGAUGAUCGGUUACAUCCUCGGGUGGGUUGGUUCUUUGUGUCCUUCGAGCCAUAAUCUGCACAUAUUAACACAAANUCGAGCCAUAAUCUGCACAUAUUAACACAAAAACACAAAACCAACAAAAUAUGGCAGCAUUAAUAGAUUUUUAAACCAAAAAAUGAAGCUGGAUAGGGGAAGUACGCUGGGCGUACAUCCAGCGUACGCUGGGCGUAAGUCCAGGUUCCACAGGUCUGUGUCGGUUCCUUUACUUGUGCAAAAAUCAUAACCCACAUCAAAAUAAACACAGCAGGGGCAACACACAAGUUCAAAUCGAGUGGUCGAUAGGCAUUAAAAAAAACGGGACCACCCUUAAAAUAUGUCCAAUAAUAGGAAUCGAUCCCCAGUUCGUUCUUUGUCUAUUCAAGAUUAGCAACACUGUGUGGGUAUUUAAAAACGAACGGAGAAUAGGGUGUACGCUAGGCGUCCAUCCCCAAGUUCAAAUCGGCGGUCAUGGGACGGAAUUAAUACCAAAUAAGGUCCUAGGGUUUAGUCUAUGGAUCGAAAUCGGUCCAUUUAAGCCAUAAUCAAACACGAAUGUGUGAAAUCGACUCCUAAUUCGAAAAAUACACGAACCCUAGAUUUUAAACAAAGGCAUAAUGCAGCUUAUUUCAUCAAAUUAAACAUAAAUCCGAGCUAUUGAGUAUCCGAAAUACUUACCCGUGUGUCGAAUUUUACAAGAAAAGAAGCACAAUCGAAAAUGUUGAGGAGAGCUCGGCCGUCAUAGUGCAAGUUUGAGAGAAGAAAAAAGAAUAAAGAAGAAGUCAAAGGGUUAAAAGAUAUACCUGGUCGCCGUGUUACGCGGGGCGUACCUCAACCCCCUGAAAUGUUCAUCCGCGAUCAGAUGUUGAAUUACGCUUGGCGUAAUGUAACUUACGCGGGGCGUAAGUUUAAAUGAAAAUUUCCCUUUUUCUUUAAUUUAACUUCCUUUUCUUUUUGAUUAUUUAAUCUUGGGACUUAAAACUUAUUUAUUUUUUUUCUUUUUAAUUUCCUUAGCUAAUGAUGACUUCACGAUGAGUGACAAAAAAAAAUAUAUGAGAUGUCAUAACCACUUAUCUUUGUCGAGAUCAAACGACAAUGGUUGAUCAAACCUUUGCAUGCAAGAAUUGGUUUGCGAAAACACCCACUUUCGGGAACCGUUAGAAUAUUUCCUUUGUUUUCCUUGCACAUUUAACUAAAAGCGGAACAAGAAGUGACCUAACUAGUCAAGAACAGCAAGAGCUCGGUCUUCCACUUAACCACCACAAUACGCCUUGCUAUACUACGCCUCAUGGGUUGAGUUGGACAAAUCAACAAAGUAGUAGGCUAAGCAGGUCAAGAAUUCCCUAGUCGCUUUCAUUCUCGAAACCCAUGCAAAAAGUAAAGUCAAGCAGUGUGUACAAUCCCAAAUUCCUGCAACAUAAAAACAAGAACCCUCCCGACAAGUGAAAUGAUAUCAUCGAAAAUCAAACUAAAAAUAAAAACUAACUAAAAACAAAUAACGAAUAAUCAAAUAAAAUAAAUUAAUGACAAGCCGUUCCCCGGCAACGGCGCCAAAAACUUGAUGUGCACAAAAGUACCCACUAAUUUUAAUAUUUAUAACCUAACAAACUUAGACUAUCUAUGCACUUAUAGGCAGUGUACCUAGUCAGAUUACAGUAUAGCUUAGGUAAGUCGAGUGUCGAUCACAGGGAAUGGUGGAUUAAUUUAAUAUAUUUGAUUAUAGGUUACAGGUCACAUGAAAAUAAUAAAGAAAAUGGUUUAAUAAAUCUCAAACUAACAAUUAAAAACUCUUGAUAAACUAACAGGAAAGCACAUCUCUUCAGGUACUUUGGUCUAGAUAAAUUACACCUUAAAAACAUAGACAAUUGCAUACACAAAUUCAUUUAUUCAAUGUUCACCGAUUCCUAAAAUGAUUAGAUUCGCGUUCACUAUAACUAAUCCUUUAGCAAACAAGUCAAUUCAAACAGUGAUCAGUUGAUUAAACUAACAUGCUUCCUAGUGUUCAGUUCGUAUCAAGCAAGACUUGUAAAUAUAGUUAAUCAAUGUAGACAUUUAAUCAACCUCUUGUUGAUGGUCAUCAAACAAGGCUCACACAUUAACUUACUUAUUCUCAAAUUAAUUCUAGUUUCACAUUCGUUAUUUCUAGUCUUAUAAUCUCGAUGGUCAUCAAAAAUCAUAAGAGACAAGCAAAUCAAGCGGAUGUUCAAGCAACUCAAUUCACUUAACAAUUAACAGAAAAUAAUCAUCAUUAACACAUGAGGAUCUUUAAACAAGCUUAGCAAGAUAAACUAAACACAAAUAAACUAUUUAAUAUAGCAAUUAGUCUAAUAAUCAAAGCUUCAUUCAAUCAUAAACACAAAGUAAAAGGUUUUUACACCCAAAUCAGAAACUAAAUACAGAAAAGUACCACAAUGGAAUGCUAAACAUGGUCACGUUAGCAAUCCAUAUGAUAACCGACAUGUAUCCGCUCUCCAAUCCUUCCGAUCUCCGCUCCCGUUAGCUUAACGGCCUUCCGGCCGCCUUCUAGACCCUCAAAACGGCUUAACAGAAGUUAAUUGUCGACUAAAUUAGGUUAGAAGUCGAAU